UACGUAGGUCACAAGCGUUGUCCGGAUUUAUUGGGCGUAAAGGGAGCGCAGGCGGCCAGUUAAGUCUGAUGUGAAAGCCCACGGCUCAACCGUGGAGGUGCAUUGGAAACUGAUUGGCUUGAGUGUGCGAUAGGAAAGCGGAAUUCCAGGUGUAGCGGUGAAAUGCGUAGAUAUCUGGAGGAACACCGGUGGCGAAAGCGGCUUUCUGGCGCAUAACUGACGCUGAGGCUCGAAAGCGUGGGGAGCGAACGGGAUUAGAUACCCCCGUA
This 269-nucleotide ribosomal RNA is filed under the name uncultured prokaryote. RNAcentral describes it as "partial 16S ribosomal RNA". It matches the Rfam family "Bacterial small subunit ribosomal RNA", at positions 524 to 792 of the family's 1533-position model. The record is from RNAcentral.